AGAGUUUGAUCCUGGCUCAGACUGAACGCUGGCGGAAUGCUUUACACAUGCAAGUCGAACGGCAGCACGGGAGCUUGCUCCUGGUGGCGAGUGGCGAACGGGUGAGUAAUGCAUCGGAACGUACCGAGUAAUGGGGGAUAACGCAUCGAAAGGUGUGCUAAUACCGCAUACGCCCUGAGGGGGAAAGUGGGGGAUUCGCAAGGACCUCACGUUAUUCGAGCGGCCGAUGCCUGAUUAGCUAGUUGGUGAGGUAGAGGCUCACCAAGGCGACGAUCAGUAGCUGGUCUGAGAGGAUGAUCAGCCACACUGGAACUGAGACACGGUCCAGACUCCUACGGGAGGCAGCAGUGGGGAAUUUUGGACAAUGGGCGCAAGCCUGAUCCAGCCAUUCCGCGUGAGUGAAGAAGGCCUUCGGGUUGUAAAGCUCUUUCGGCAGGGAAGAAAUCGCGAGGGGUAAUAUCCCUCGCGGAUGACGGUACCUGAAGAAGAAGCACCGGCUAACUACGUGCCAGCAGCCGCGGUAAUAC
RNAcentral lists this ribosomal RNA (527 nucleotides) under uncultured Rhodocyclaceae bacterium. Its description in RNAcentral is "bacterial SSU rRNA". It matches the Rfam family "Bacterial small subunit ribosomal RNA", at positions 8 to 526 of the family's 1533-position model. Lineage: Bacteria; Pseudomonadati; Pseudomonadota; Betaproteobacteria; Rhodocyclales; Rhodocyclaceae. The record is from RNAcentral.